This 306-nucleotide ribosomal RNA is filed under the name uncultured bacterium. Its description in RNAcentral is "partial 16S ribosomal RNA". It matches the Rfam family "Bacterial small subunit ribosomal RNA", at positions 507 to 808 of the family's 1533-position model. The record is from RNAcentral.
GACAGCAGUCGCCGCGGUAAUACGUAGGUCCCGAGCGUUGUCCGGAUUUAUUGGGCGUAAAGCGAGCGCAGGCGGUUAGAUAAGUCUGAAGUUAAAGGCUGUGGCUUAACCAUAGUACGCUUUGGAAACUGUUUAACUUGAGUGCAAGAGGGGAGAGUGGAAUUCCAUGUGUAGCGGUGAAAUGCGUAGAUAUAUGGAGGAACACCGGUGGCGAAAGCGGCUCUCUGGCUUGUAACUGACGCUGAGGCUCGAAAGCGUGGGGAGCAAACAGGAUUAGAUACCCCCGUAGUCCCUGUCUCUUAUACA